Molecule: unclassified non-coding RNA, 329 nt
Filed under: soil metagenome
Description: partial contains 5.8S ribosomal RNA, internal transcribed spacer 2, and large subunit ribosomal RNA
Rfam family: 5.8S ribosomal RNA (bases 1-120)
Source: RNAcentral
GAUGAAGAACGUAGCGAAAUGCGAUAAGUAAUGUGAAUUGCAGAAUUCAGUGAAUCAUCGAAUCUUUGAACGCACAUUGCGCCCCUUGGUAUUCCGAGGGGCAUGCCUGUUCGAGCGUCAUUAUAACCCCUCAAGCUCAGCUUGGUGUUGGGGCCUGCUGCACUGGCAGCCCUUAAAAUCAGUGGCGGCGCCAUCUGGCUCUAAGCGUAGUAAUUCUUCUCGCUAUGGAGUCCUGGUGGAUACUUGCCAUCAACCCCCAAUUUUUCUAUGGUUGACCUCGGAUCAGGUAGGGAUACCCGCUGAACUUAAGCAUAUCAAUAAGCGGAGGA